This 253-nucleotide ribosomal RNA is filed under the name uncultured bacterium. RNAcentral's name for it is "partial 16S ribosomal RNA". It matches the Rfam family "Bacterial small subunit ribosomal RNA", at positions 524 to 776 of the family's 1533-position model. The record is from RNAcentral.
GACAGAGGGUGCAAGCGUUGUUCGGAAUUAUUGGGCGUAAAGGGCGCGUAGGCGGUCUUGCAAGUCAUAUGUGAAAUCCCAGGGCUUAACCCUGGAAGUGCAUCUGAUACUGCUCGACUUGAGUCCCGGAGAGGGUGGUGGAAUUCCCAGUGUAGAGGUGAAAUUCGUAGAUAUCCGGAGGAACACCAGUGGCGAAAGCGGCCACCUGGACUGCACCUGACGCUGACACGCGAAAGCUAGGGGAGCGAACGGG